RNAcentral lists this microRNA (21 nucleotides) under Arabidopsis lyrata. RNAcentral describes it as "aly-miR774b-3p". Its record names the gene aly-miR774b-3p. The record is from miRBase by way of RNAcentral. Lineage: Eukaryota; Viridiplantae; Streptophyta; Magnoliopsida; Brassicales; Brassicaceae.
CACCCAAAUCUUCCUCUCAGG